UAGAGACGGAAUUGGCGGCGGGGGCGGGGGGUCGAUGUCUCACUUUUUUGCCCAGGCUGGUCUCGAACUCCUGGCUUCAAGGGAUCCUCCUGCCUCGGCCUCUUAAAGUGCUGGGAUUACAGGCGUGAGCCACCGCCCCCGGCCGCCUCUGAGUUUCCAGCCUCGUUGGCCCUCCAGCCUUUUAACCUGUUGGGCCUAGGAUCAGGAAAGGUUUGUUGAAUGGGGAACUAAGAAGUGAAUUCGUUCGUUCGACAAACGUUUCCUGAGCAGCCGCUGGGUGCUAGGCGCAGUGCCAGCGCGGAAUGUCCAGGGAGACCUGGUGCCCAAAGCUUGGACCCAUCGUGAGAAAUGAGAAGCAGAUACAAAGCAGUGUGGGAGUGCAGAGGAGACAAAGCAAGCCUCAUCAGGCCCAUUGCUUGCUCUGCUCUCCCUUGUACUUACCAGUGCUUGACAAUAUACAGUUAUUUACUAGCUUGGUUAUUGACUUCCUACCCAGCACUCAGUUUUAUUCACUGCUGUAUCCUCAGUGCCUAGGACGAUGCUUGGAACGUGAUUCAUUGAUUCCAGGUAAAUCAGAGGAACAAGCAACAUGAACAGAAAUAUGUAGAAAAAGCUAUUAUGCAGAAGCAUAAUUGUUGUUUCAGAAGUCCAGCAUCUGGUGCACUUAACAAUAGAGAAUAUAUUAAACUCUUUCCAAAAUAACCUGUUGUUCCUACCUGUGUUGUAAGUGUUUUGUUUGUUUUUAAGUAAAUAUUGGUGAUUUGUUGCCA
RNAcentral lists this long non-coding RNA (770 nucleotides) under Homo sapiens (human). RNAcentral's name for it is "HSALNT0378853". Lineage: Eukaryota; Metazoa; Chordata; Mammalia; Primates; Hominidae. The record is from RNAcentral.